AUGCUCGCUUUGGCAGCACGUAUACUAAAAUUGGAACGAUAUAAAGAAGAUCAGCAUGGCCCCGUUGUAAGGAUGACACACAAAUUCAUGAAGUGUUCCAUAUUUUU
Molecule: small nuclear RNA, 107 nt
Organism: Jaculus jaculus (lesser Egyptian jerboa)
Lineage: Eukaryota; Metazoa; Chordata; Mammalia; Rodentia; Dipodidae
Source: Ensembl